Molecule: ribosomal RNA, 386 nt
Filed under: uncultured bacterium
Lineage: Bacteria
Description: bacterial SSU rRNA
Rfam family: Bacterial small subunit ribosomal RNA
Source: RNAcentral
AUUGAACGCUGGCGGCAUGCCUUACACAUGCAAGUCGAACGGCAGCGGACCUUCGGGUGCCGGCGAGUGGCGAACGGGUGAGUAAUAUAUCGGAACGUACCUUUCAGUGGGGGAUAACGUAGCGAAAGUUACGCUAAUACCGCAUAUUCUGUGAGCAGGAAAGCAGGGGAUCGCAAGACCUUGCGCUGAUUGAGCGGCCGAUAUCAGAUUAGCUAGUUGGUGAGGUAAAGGCUCACCAAGGCGACGAUCUGUAGCGGGUCUGAGAGGAUGAUCCGCCACACUGGAACUGAGACACGGUCCAGAUUCCUACGGGAGGCAGCAGUGGGGAAUUUUGGACAAUGGGCGCAAGCCUGAUCCAGCCAUGCCGCGUGAGUGAAGAAGGCCUU